This 468-nucleotide ribosomal RNA is filed under the name uncultured bacterium. RNAcentral's name for it is "partial 16S ribosomal RNA". It matches the Rfam family "Bacterial small subunit ribosomal RNA", at positions 28 to 507 of the family's 1533-position model. The record is from RNAcentral.
GACGAACGCUGGCGGCGUGCUUAACACAUGCAAGUCGAACGGAAAGGCCCUGCUUUUGUGGGGUGCUCGAGUGGCGAACGGGUGAGUAACACGUGAGUAACCUGCCCUUGACUUUGGGAUAACUUCAGGAAACUGGGGCUAAUACCGGAUAGGAGCUCCUGCUGCAUGGUGGGGGUUGGAAAGUUUCGGCGGUUGGGGAUGGACUCGCGGCUUAUCAGCUUGUUGGUGGGGUAGUGGCUUACCAAGGCUUUGACGGGUAGCCGGCCUGAGAGGGUGACCGGCCACAUGGGGACUGAGAUACGGCCCAGACUCCUACGGGAGGAAGAAGUGGGGAAUAUUGCACAAUGGGCGGAAGCCUGAUGCAGCAACGCCGCGUGCGGGAUGACGGCCUUCGGGUUGUAAACCGCUUUCGCCUGUGACGAAGCGUGAGUGACGGUAAUGGGUAAAGAAGCACCGGCUAACUACGUG